ACUCUUCCACUCAGAGUGAACGCUGGCGGCAGGUAACACAUGCAAGUCGAACGGCAGCACAGUAAGAGUUCUCUUAUGGGUGGCGAGUGGCGGACGGGUGAGGAAUACAUCGGAAUCUACUCUCGUGGGGGAUAACGUAGGGAACUUACGCUAAUACCGCAUACGACCUACGGGUGAACGGAGGACCUUCGGGCUUCGCGCGGUGAAUGAGCCGAUGUCGGAUUAGCUAGUUGGCGGGGUAAGCCCACCAAGGCGACGAUCCGUAGCUGGUCUGAGAGGAUGAUCAGCCACACUGGAACUGACACGGUCCAGACUCCUACGGGAGGCAGCAGUGGGGAAUAUUGGACAAUGGGCAAGCCUGAUCCAGCCAUGCCGCGUGGGUGAAGAAGGCCUUCGGGUUGUAAAGCCCUUGUUGGGAAAGAAAAGCAGUCGGUUAAUACCCGAUUGUUCUGACGGUACCCAGAAUAAGCACCGGCUAACUUCGUGCCAGCAGCCGCGGUAAUACGAAGGGUGCAAGCGUCGUUCGGAAUUACUGGGCGUAAAGCGUGCGUAGGUGGUGGUUUAAGUCUGUUGUGAAAGAGCUGGGCUCAACCUGGGAAUUGCAGUGGAUACUGGGUCACUAGAGUGUGGUAGAGGGUAGCGGAAUUCCCGGUGUAGCAGUGAAAUGCGUAGACUUCGGGAGGAACAUCCGUGGCGAAGGCGGCUACCUGGACCAACACUGACACUGAGGCACGAAAGCGUGGCAAGCAAACAGGAUUAGAUACCCUGGUAGUCCACGCAGUAAACGAUGCGAACUGGAUGUUGGGUGCAAUAUGGCACGCAGUAUCGAAGCUAACGCGUAGAGUUCGCCGCCUGGGGAGUACGGUCGCAAGACUGAAACUCAAAGGAAUUGACGGCUGCCCGCACAAGCGGUGCAGUAUGUGGUUUAAUUCGAUGCAACGCGAAGAAGAUUACCUGGUCUUGACAUCCACGGAACUAUCCAGAGAUGGAUUGGUGCCUUCGCCAACCGUGCUACAUGCUGGUGGCUGUCGUCAGCUCGUGUCGUGAGAUGUUGGUAGUCCCAACGAGCGCAACCCUUGUCCUUAGUUGCCAGCACGUAAUGGUGGGAACUCUAAGGAGACCGCCGGUGACAAACCGGAGGAGUGGGGAUGACGUCAAGUCAUCAUGGCCUACGACCAGGGCUACACACGUACUACAAUGGUAGACAGAGGGCUGCAAACCCGCGAGGGCAAGCCAAUCCCAGAACCCUAUCUCAGUCCGGAUUAGUCUGCAACUCGACUCCAUGAAGUCGGAAUCGCUAGUAAUCGCAGAUCAGCAUUGCUGCGGUGAAUACGUCCGGGCCUUGUACACACCGCCCGUCACACCAUGGGAGUUGUUGCACCAGAAGCAGGUAGCUUAACCUUCGGGGGCGCUUGCCACGGUGUGGCCGAUGACUGGGGUGAAGUCGUAACAAGGUAGCCGUAUCGGAAGGUGCGUGCUGGAUCACCUCCUAUUCUAGCU
Molecule: ribosomal RNA, 1500 nt
Filed under: uncultured Xanthomonas sp.
Lineage: Bacteria; Pseudomonadati; Pseudomonadota; Gammaproteobacteria; Lysobacterales; Lysobacteraceae
Description: partial 16S ribosomal RNA
Rfam family: Bacterial small subunit ribosomal RNA
Source: RNAcentral